UUCUUUCAGGUGUUGCUCUUGGUUUCCCUGCCCAAAGAAACCAAAACCAACACACUUUCAUUCACUUUCCUUUCUGUUCACUAUGGAUAAAUAAAUCAUAUUUGUUGUUUUAGGCUGCCCACUUCAGCAACCCAGCGAAUAUUCCAAUUUUGGAAACUUGCAAAAAUUCAAACGUUUCUGUCACUGUUACUCUCUUCCCAGGGUUCGAUAAAAAGUAGGAUUUGGUGUAAAAUGUUGAUCUUAAGCAUAAUUUUAAAAAGACAAAGGCGAUCUACGUUAGAUUAGAGGAAAUGGGAGAUUUAUCCGCUGCUUUUGCAUGUGGGUUUUCUCAGAAGACUAAGGAAAGUUUGGUGCAUAAAAGAUGGAAACCUGAUUUUAUCAGUCCUCAAGAAAAUGAAUUUGCUAUUGCUGUUGGGUUUUCUCAAGGAAACUCUCCAGAUUUCGUGAUAUCCGACCAUGGUGUUUCCCCGAUGAUAUCAGCUGAUUUGCAACAGAAUAGAGAGAAUAAGAACCCGAAUUCUUCGUAUUUUGAUUUGGUUAGUGCCGAUGAAAUUGACAUGAUGAAGUGUAGUUUAAGUUUUGGUUCCAUAACUAAGAAGAGUAGGGUCAUAAAGCGGCGAGGGCAGAGCAGGAAGGCAAUAAUUGUGUGUUUGGCGGUGCUUGGACUUAGAGUUCUAAACAUAGCCCUCCAUUUAGCAGUGAAGAUAGAAAAGAGCAUGGUAAGAUAGAGUUCAUGGGAAUCAGAUCAAAUGCUUGUGCAGAUUAUUACCCUGUUAAUGGUUUUCAGGACAUAUCAGAUCAUGAAACACCGUCUACCAGCAAAUAUGCUUCUGAAUAUGAUGUGGAUGAACCUUGUUAUGAUAGUUGGCAACAUGUAAAUGCUGACGAUUGUUGGAAGGUUGGUUGUCAUGAAUGAAAUAAUGUGUUUCUUAAAUCUGCUGAGGUCUGAGACCAGACGAGAUCCACGUGUAAUGUGUAACUAGUGUCAGAAGAUGGUUGGAGGACCUGGGAUUUGGCAGGUAUGCUGGUAUUUUUGAAAUGCAUGAGGUUGAUGAGGAAAAUCUACCUCUGCUUACUCUAGAUGAUCUCAAGGAGAUGGGUGUAUCUGCUGUUUGGCAUCAACAGAAAUUGUACACUGCAAUGCAGCAAUUAAGAGGAGGCGGUGAUUCUUCUUGAAAAUUCUUCCGAUCAAUGUCAGCAAUAUGUAAGGCACUUAAUUACUGCAGCUCCAGCUACUUCUAAGUUCUAAAGGACUUCCAGCAGUAAGCCUUGGAUUGCUUCAAAUGUCACUUUUAAAAGAGUUGUGUUACAGACGGCCCAUUCUGACAAAACAUGUUACUCGAUGAUUUUGCUGGAUAUGAAUGGUUCAUGAACAUUCCAUCUUAGGUGGAGUUUCUGUUGAUUUGUAAUGGAAUGAGAUGACCUUAUGCCUUUCACAGGUUGCACUGAGUUUUCAUUUUCUUUUGGUAAUGACUCCCAGUCUUCUGAGGUAGAUGGAGGAGAUCAUUUAUCUGUUUCAGUUUUACAAGUUUGGUGAGAUAAAAUGAUUUGGUUAAAAUCAGCAUUAAGAUUGAAUAUUUUAACGACGAGAUUAAAAUUAAUAAUAAAAAUAUA
Durio zibethinus is the source of this 1614-nucleotide RNA transcript. RefSeq lists it as uncharacterized. The record is from RefSeq and is a predicted model, not a curated record. Lineage: Eukaryota; Viridiplantae; Streptophyta; Magnoliopsida; Malvales; Malvaceae.